GUCUCCGGCCACGCUGCCCUGAACGCGCCCGAUCCCGUCUGCUCUCGAAAGCUAAGCAGGGUCGGGCCUGGUUAGUAGUAUUUGGAUGGGAGACCACCUAGGAAGACCAGGUGCUGUAGGCG
RNAcentral lists this ribosomal RNA (122 nucleotides) under Pteropus alecto (black flying fox). The record is from RNAcentral. Lineage: Eukaryota; Metazoa; Chordata; Mammalia; Chiroptera; Pteropodidae.